RNAcentral lists this ribosomal RNA (539 nucleotides) under uncultured Psychrilyobacter sp. RNAcentral's name for it is "bacterial SSU rRNA". It matches the Rfam family "Bacterial small subunit ribosomal RNA", at positions 56 to 609 of the family's 1533-position model. Lineage: Bacteria; Fusobacteriati; Fusobacteriota; Fusobacteriia; Fusobacteriales; Fusobacteriaceae. The record is from RNAcentral.
UGCAAGUCGACUGGAAUUCUUCUUCGGAAGAUAGUACGGUGGCGGACGGGUGAGUAACGCGUAAAGAAUUUGCCCUUCAGACUGGGACAACUAAUCGAAAGGUUAGCUAAUACCGGAUAUUAUGAGACCUUGGCAUCAAGGACUUAUGAAAGCUAUAUGCGCUGGAGGAGAACUUUGCGUUCCAUUAGCUAGUUGGUAGGGUAAUGGCCUACCAAGGCGACGAUGGAUAGCCGGCCUGAGAGGGUGAACGGCCACAAGGGGACUGAGACACGGCCCUUACUCCUACGGGAGGCAGCAGUGGGGAAUAUUGGACAAUGGACCAAAAGUCUGAUCCAGCAAUUCUGUGUGCACGAUGAAGGUCUUCGGAUUGUAAAGUGCUUUCAGGUGGGAAGAAGAAAGUGACGGUACCACCAGAAGAAGCGACGGCUAAAUACGUGCCAGCAGCCGCGGUAAUACGUAUGUCGCAAGCGUUAUCCGGAAUUAUUGGGCGUAAAGCGAGUCUAGGCGGCUUGUUAAGUCAGAUGUGAAAAUGCGGGGCU